AUCUGCAAUUUGGACAGGUACAGUGGAGUGGCAGGGGGAACAUUCCCAUUUAGUGUCUGGAAGUUUGAGGCUGGCUUUCAGCUGAGAUCGUAGCUGGUGCUGUCAGCUGGAACACCUACUCUACACAUGGCUUCUUCUUGUGGCCUGGACUUCCUAACAACAUGGCAGCUUGGGUUCCAAGGGUGAACGUCCCAAGAAGAGUGUAAGGAGUAGCUGUACCACCUUUUCAGACCUAGCCUCAGAAAUCAUGCAGCAUCCCUUCGGCCACAUUCUACUAGUUAGAAGUGAGUCACCAGCCACACUCGGGGGCUCACACCUGUAAUCCCAACACUUUGGGAGGCCGAGGCGGGCAGAUCACCUGAGGUCAGGAGUUUGAGACCAGCCUGGCCGAUAUGGUGAAACUCCGCCCCUACUAAAAAUACAAAAAAUUAGCCGGGCAUGUUGGCACGUGCCUGUAGUCCCAGCUACUCAGCAGGCUGAGACAGGAGAAUCGCUUGAACCUUGGAGGCGGAGGUUUCAGUGAGCCAAGAUCACGCCACUGCACUCCAGUCUGGGCAACAAGAGCAAAACUCCAUAUGAAAAAAAAAAAAAGGCAGUGAGUCACCAAUGGCCAGCCAGCAUCCAUGGGGAGAAUUAGAUUCCACCUUCUGAUGGGUGGAGUGACAAAGAAACUGAGAACCUGUUUUAAAGCCACGUUUGGUACUACUAUAAAACUCUCCCACUGGAGUUCUUUCCUGAAGCCACAAUUCUAACCCAAGAGAUGUGCAUUCUUCUCCUCUGCCCAUGCCCAUCUGUAAGCUUCCUGGACAGAUUCAACAGAGGGCUCCAUAGAUGGGCCUUUCUUGGAAUUAACCGUGGUUCUUGAAUCCAAAGCCACAAAACAGGAUGGAUCCUACCUUAGGGAUACAAGCUUCUCCCUUUCUUGUCCCAGGCUAAGCCCACCACCCCAGGAAUCCCCCGUGGUUUUAGUUCCUACUGCUCCAGGAACUUCCAAUCCUAUCAAGUUGGGUUCAUGGGCCCCACUGCUAGAGCAGCCAUGACUGAGCCUGAAGCACAAGCUCCUGGUCCCCACUUGCUGAGCCGCCCCUGCACCCAGGCAGAUCUUCCUAAGGCCCCAAGCCUCACUGCUCCCAUGGUCCAAGGAGACUCUGAAGCCAGAAGAGCCAUCUCCUGUAAGCUCUUCUCUCUUCCCCACUAGAUGACCUGGAAGGCUGGUUGAGCCACGUCUGACCCUCUUAGACCAGCUCUACAAUAUGCGGUCCCUCCCUCUAGAGCCUUCCUACUCUAGCCAGUGAUUCCCCCGCAAGAACCUCUGGAUCCUGCACACUUUAUGUCUCUUCAUUUUUUUAAGGGUGAAAACCAAUGCAGGUGAGAAAUAAAAUCCUAACCCUCCCAACCAACUGAAUGGACCCCCCUUUUGGCCAAGGAGACCACAAAGAAACUUACAAACUGAGCUCUUGGCCAUGACAGGGUGGGAGAGGAGGUCAGACAGGCCUUGCUGUGCCCCCUCCCUCACUAAACACCAUUAGACUUUCUUUCCCAGAGUUCAGCUGAAACCAGCCCUUUCAAAAGAUUUGCUCCACUGCUGAUUUCCACCAACCACCUGAUGCUGUGGCUGGACUCCUCGCCAUUUUUGUGGUUUUGGCACAGCAACUGACCAGCAUUCCUUCCUGAUAAGAGACCACUGACCACAGACUGAUUCUGGCCAGUCCAUGGAGGCUGCACACAGGGACACUUCUGUGUCCUCCGUUUUCCCUUUUGACUUAUGGAGCCUAAAUUCACUGCAUUUAAAUGUUAAGUCUCCAACCCAAAGUGAACAUGGGACAUAUGUAACAUGCAUGUUUGCUUACUAUGCAUGCACACCCCUUCAUGAAUAUUCACAGUUCUUCCUAUAACCUGUUGAAUAUGUAUACUUAGCCAACCUGUUCAGUGUAAAUUCCUGUCUUAGCCUUCCUCCUUCCAAGUGCUUGCUUUUGUUUUUUGCUGGAGGCUAUGCUUCCCAGCCUGCAGGUGGCGAGCCUGCAGCUGCAACCUUUUAUAAGAAAUUAAGCUCUCCUUUCCCGAUGUAUAGAUCUCAUGACUUUAAGUCAACACAGGUCAUGGGCACACAGGUGUAAGCUUUAGCAUUAAGCAAUCACAUGGCUCAUAGAGUUCAGCCACCAGAACCCAGGGGUUGCCAUUCAUAGGUUAGGUAGGCUGAGGCAGAGGCAGGCUGCUCUUUCAUGUCAGAAGUGAGGGAAUAGCACCCUAAGUAGAAGAGACAGUAUUGCAGGUGUUAAGGCAGGAAAGAACAUUCCAGAAACUGAAAGGCUCAUUAUGGUUCCAUUGACAGUAAUGAGAUCAGAAGGAGUCAAGAGACACCAUGAUAAAGAUUUUAUCCUGAAUGCAUCAGGAGGCCCCCGAGGGGUUUUAAGCAGAUGAGGGAUAUGGCACCAUUUAUGUUUUUAAAAGAAUAUUCUAGCUACGGUGUGAACAUGGACCGGAGCCACUAGGAGGGAACGUGUGCAGAUGCCCAGGGAAAACCCCUUGACCAAUCACUCAACGAGCCUUCUGACUUAGGCUUGGUGCCAGGGGACAAAAUGAUUCCUCUGAUCGUUUGGGGGAAUCAAAAUGGUCCCCAAAGGGGACCACCAAGGGACACCAAAAUGAUUCCAGCUUAUCUCCUCUGUCUUCCAAGAAUGCUUGGUCUGGAGAAGCAAAAACUAAACAGAGUAGUCAUGCUAUAAUAGGGGCAAUGGUGGCAGAAGGACCAGGAGGGGAUCACAGGAUGCUCCCCUGAGGUAGAAAGGUUUCCUUGACCAGGAUCUUCAAGGGUGAAUAGGAACUCUACAGGCAAAUAUGGAGGGAAAGGUACUCCAGGCAGAGGGACAGUGUGGAGAAAAGCACAGAGGCAUGGAGCAAUGCGCUACACUUAGGAAACCUGAUAAGGUUCUGCAUGGUGGGAGCACAGGAUUGGGUGGGACUCGGGAAAAGGCAGUGGGGAGGAGGGCAGGGGCUAAGGCCCAGUACAGGUCCAGAAAGACCUUGUGCAUCAUCUUACAGGAACAGUACUUUCCCUCAGUGAAUGGGUAGCCAUGGAAAAUGAUUGAGCAGGAAGAUUUUGCUUUUUAAAUGAUACUCAAGGGGAGGACCUAGAAGGGAGAAGCGCUGAGGGUCCAAUAGAAGAGAGAAGCAUACGCUGUCAAUCUCUAACGCAGGUGACCUGGGAUCCGCUGCCAGUACAAUCCCAUCCUGAGCAGCUGCCCCCAGUCCCUGGCUUCUCACAAAGGCCCACACACCUGCUGAGCACGCUCAGCUUGAAACAGCCCUCUCAGUCCCAAGAACCAGAAACCAGAGAAACCCCAGAAGAGGGAGGGUCAUGGGAAACCAAAAAGAAACUGUGGUGCAAUCCAACCUUAGAAGAAAUCAGAGAAUCCUGUGUCACUUCCACUCCAUAACCCCUUCCCAGGGGAGCUCUACUGUUGGCAGAGCCCCUCCAGGCACCUGCCCCGGGAC
This 3495-nucleotide long non-coding RNA is filed under the name Homo sapiens (human). RNAcentral describes it as "HSALNT0153820". The record is from RNAcentral. Lineage: Eukaryota; Metazoa; Chordata; Mammalia; Primates; Hominidae.